GCUUGGGCAGGGAAAUCAAUGAUUACCCAAAUCCAUCAGCUCAGCUUCUCUCUCAGUUACACUUGCUACAAUGAGACAAGGUCUUGCUAAGUUGCCCAGGCUGGUUUUGAAAUUGUGAUCCUCCUGUUUCAGUCUCCUGAGCUGAAGCUCAGGUGGGAUUACAGUAGCAGGAACCACAUGAAGAGUUUAAUAAAGGGGGACCAGCAUUAUAAAGAAGGUGAUGUACCUGAAGGAGCUCACAUGUAAGACAUACAGCCAGGCUUCAUAAGAGACCUGAAAAGCAGAAGCUGGAAAGUCAGAACCCUGAUUGGAGCUACUUCUCAAGGGUGUACCAUCUCUCCAUCCUGCGCCUCUCUGCACUUCCAUGUUAAGGAGAUUGAAAUAGGGUCCUUGCGCUUGCAAGGCAGGUGUUGGAACCACUGAGCUAAAUCCCUGGCCCAUGAAGGUCUAUUUUCAAGUCACAGACCAAGACUUGUACAGGAUGGUAGAAGAAAAUCUUCUGGAUUAGAAACCUCCUUCCCGCAGCAUGCAAGAUGCUCCUAUCAACCUGGUGAGAGGAUCAUUUUGACCAAUGAUUCUUACCCAGUGGUAUUCAAUCUUCUGAGGCCACAGAGCCCUUCUGUGGUAAGUGCAGACCACCUCCCCAGAAAAACAACUAUGUAUAUUAAAAAUAUUUCUGUUAACAAUUGUAGGCUCCCUGCAAUUUCUCCAGGUGUUUAAACACCCUGUCUUAGAUCAUGGCUCCCUUAACCAUAGAAUCCUACAAUGUUAGUAC
This 775-nucleotide long non-coding RNA is filed under the name Heterocephalus glaber (naked mole-rat). RNAcentral describes it as "lncRNA (ENSHGLG00000046266.1)". Lineage: Eukaryota; Metazoa; Chordata; Mammalia; Rodentia; Bathyergidae. The record is from RNAcentral.